AACCGACACAGCUUUGCGAUCUCGCCAGCAUGCAGUCUGAUGUCUUCCCUAUAGAUGAUUCCAGAGACUCUGUGAGGCUACUAUUGCAAGGUGAGACGCUUUGCGUUGAUUGGUGCUGCUGGACCACACUGGAGGUGCGAGUCCGCCGUGUAAUGGUUUAUGCCAUUACAAAGGAGCUGGCCUCUGUACUCAACUGGGCAGGGAAAAAAUACCAAGGACCAGACAAAGCAAAAAAGGGCAUUUAAAGAGACAGCGCUGUGCAGAUGCAUAUUUGAUGGCCUGGCGCAGCAGGUAGGGGCGAACUCUAUGUCUGAGUUGGUCUUUGCUCAAGCAGUCCAGAAAUGGCUCAGAUAUGCUCCAGAUCGUACGGGUGGCACGCAGGACGCCCAUCAUCCAUCCCCAUCCCGGAGUAAAUAAUAAAAAGUGACGUGAA
This is a long non-coding RNA of Pelmatolapia mariae (spotted tilapia), 433 nucleotides long. RefSeq lists it as uncharacterized. The transcript has 4 exons. Lineage: Eukaryota; Metazoa; Chordata; Actinopteri; Cichliformes; Cichlidae. The record is from RefSeq and is a predicted model, not a curated record.